RNAcentral lists this ribosomal RNA (253 nucleotides) under uncultured bacterium. RNAcentral's name for it is "partial 16S ribosomal RNA". It matches the Rfam family "Bacterial small subunit ribosomal RNA", at positions 524 to 776 of the family's 1533-position model. The record is from RNAcentral.
GACGUAGGGCGCGAGCGUUGUCCGGAUUUAUUGGGCGUAAAGAGCUCGUAGGCGGCUUGUUGCGUCAGCUGUGAAAACCCGCAGCUCAACUGUGGGCUUGCAGCUGAUACGGGCAGGCUUGAGUUCGGUAGGGGAGACUGGAAUUCCUGGUGUAGCGGUGAAAUGCGUAGAUAUCUGGAGGAACACCGGGGGCGAAGGCGGCAUCCUGGACCGGUAUUGACGCUGAGGCGCGAAAGCUAGGGGAGCAAACGGG